GGGGGCUGAGUGGCGGACGGCUGAGGAACACGUGGGUAUCUGCCUGGCAGUGGGGGACAACGGGUCGAAAGGUCCGCUAAACCCGCAUACGUUCCCUCUUUGGAGGGAAGAAAGCCUUCGGGCGCUGCCAGAGGAGCCUGCGGCCCAUCAGGUAGUUGGCGGGGUAAUGGCCCACCAAGCCAGUGACGGGUCCCUGGUUUGAGAGGACGACCAGGCAGACUGGGACUGAGACACGGCCCAG
RNAcentral lists this ribosomal RNA (241 nucleotides) under uncultured bacterium. Its description in RNAcentral is "partial 16S ribosomal RNA". It matches the Rfam family "Bacterial small subunit ribosomal RNA", at positions 86 to 334 of the family's 1533-position model. The record is from RNAcentral.